RNAcentral lists this ribosomal RNA (402 nucleotides) under uncultured bacterium. RNAcentral's name for it is "bacterial SSU rRNA". It matches the Rfam family "Bacterial small subunit ribosomal RNA", at positions 356 to 772 of the family's 1533-position model. The record is from RNAcentral.
GGGGAAUUUUCCGCAAUGGGCGAAAGCCUGACGGAGCAAUACCGCGUGAGGGAGGAAGGUCUGUGGAUUGUAAACCUCUUUUGAUAGGGAAGAACACAAUGACGGUACCUAUCGAAUCAGCAUCGGCUAACUCCGUGCCAGCAGCCGCGGUAAUACGGAGGAUGCAAGCGUUAUCCGGAAUUAUUGGGCGUAAAGCGUCCGUAGGUGGUUAAUCAAGUCUAUUGUCAAAGCCUGGGGCUUAACCCUGGAGAGGCGGUGGAAACUGGUUAACUUGAGUGCGGUAGGGGCAGAGGGAAUUCCCAGUGUAGCGGUGAAAUGCGUAGAUAUUGGGAAGAACACCGAUGGCGAAGGCAGGUCUCUGGGCCACUACUGACGCUGAGAAGCGAAAGCAUGGGGAGCGAA